CACCCAUAUCCCUGAACGGAAAGAGGGAAAAGGGCAAAGAAAAAAAAUUAAUCCUUAAUCCUGAGGAAUAUGGGGAAUAUUCCUGUAAAGAGCACACGGCGUCCACGCUUUAAAUCCUCCCACACUUUCACAUCCAGAGAAACGUCUCCUCCGAGAUCCGCACCGCGUCCCGAGAACAGUCCCUUCUGAGGACAAAGCUGCUUCACAAUGUGGAGUUCGCCAGGGGACAGGAGUCAGAGUGGGCGGGGUCAAGUCCUGAUGUCACACAAGUGGAAGUGGAGGCACAGGAAGUCUGCUGCUUUGUGCUGAAGGUAAACAGAGUGAUAAGAGGUGUGUUACUGGAGGAAGGUGACUGACACACAGGGAUACAGGGACUACUGAAUAUAACACAACACAACACAACACACUGCUCUAUAAACACAACACAACACAACACAACACACUGCUCUAUAAACA
Molecule: long non-coding RNA, 456 nt
Organism: Hemibagrus wyckioides
Lineage: Eukaryota; Metazoa; Chordata; Actinopteri; Siluriformes; Bagridae
Exons: 3
Source: RefSeq, a predicted model, not a curated record